AGAGUUUGAUCAUGGCUCAGAACGAACGCUGGCGGCGUGCUUAACACAUGCAAGUCGAACGUGAUCCGGAGCUUGCUCCGGUGAAAGUGGCGCACGGGUGAGUAACGCGUGGAUAAUCUGCCCUGGUAUCUGGGAUAACAUCUCGAAAGGGGUGCUAAUACCGGAUAAGCCUACGGACUCCUCGGAGUCUGCAGGAAAAGGUGGCCUCUAUUUAUAAGCUACCGUAUCAGGAUGAGUCCGCGUACCAUUAGCUAGUUGGUGGGGUAAUGGCCUACCAAGGCGACGAUGGUUAGCUGGUCUGAGAGGAUGAUCAGCCUCACUGGAACUGAGACACGGUCCAGACUCCUACGGGAGGCAGCAGUGGGGAAUUUUGCGCAAUGGGGGAAACCCUGACGCAGCAACGCCGCGUGAGUGAUGAAGGCUUUCGGGUCGUAAAGCUCUGUCAGAGGGGAAGAAAUGGAAACGGUUAAUACCCGUUUUUCUUGACGGUACCCUCAAAGGAAGCACCGGCUAACUCCGUGCCAGCCGCCGCGGUAGUUC
This 540-nucleotide ribosomal RNA is filed under the name uncultured bacterium. RNAcentral describes it as "bacterial SSU rRNA". It matches the Rfam family "Bacterial small subunit ribosomal RNA", at positions 8 to 526 of the family's 1533-position model. The record is from RNAcentral.